AUCUGGUGCUUCCACCGUACAACUAAGUGCUGCCAUAGCACCACUCGGUUCCUUACCCAUCAUAAUCCAGUUCCCCUUCAGCAGGACCCAAAUCUGCCCAUGAUGGACCUAGGCUAUAUCAAGAGGUAUAAAAGACUCAAUCCAUCCACUUUUCCAGAGACAUCCACUUUUGAAGAGACUAAAUACUGGUUAGCAGAGACAGAGAAGGCCUUCACAACCCUUGAAGUAGUUCCCGAACAAAAGGUUAUUCUUGCCACUUACAUGCUCGUAGGUGAGGCAGGGUGUUGGUAGUAACUAAAGCAAGCUACUCUACCCACUCCAACCACCUAGGAAUAGUUUCUGACAGCCUUUA
RNAcentral lists this long non-coding RNA (352 nucleotides) under Carica papaya (papaya). RNAcentral's name for it is "long non-coding RNA (CPAP_LNC002774)". The record is from RNAcentral. Lineage: Eukaryota; Viridiplantae; Streptophyta; Magnoliopsida; Brassicales; Caricaceae.